UAAUACAUGCAAGUCGAACGCGUCUCCGUUAAUGAUUUUAGGUGCUUGCACUUGAAAGAUUUAACAUUGAGACGAGUGGCGAACUGGUGAGUAACACGUGGGUAACCUGCCCUUGAAGUAGGGGAUAACACUUGGAAACAGGUGCUAAUACCGUAUAACAACCAAAACCACCUGGUUUUGGUUUAAAAGACGGCUUCGGCUGUCACUUUAGGAUGGACCCGCGGCGUAUUAGCUUGUUGGUAAGGUAACGGCUUACCAAGGCGAUGAUACGUAGCCGACCUGAGAGGGUAAUCGGCCACAUUGGGACUGAGACACGGCCCAAACUCCUACGGGAGGCAGCAGUAGGGAAUCUUCCACAAUGGACGAAAGUCUGAUGGAGCAACGCCGCGUGAGUGAUGAAGGGUUUCGGCUCGUAAAACUCUGUUGUUGGAGAAGAACAGGUGUCAGAGUAACUGUUGACAUCUUGACGGUAUCCAACCAGAAAGCCACGGCUAACUACGUGCCAGCAGCCGCGGUAAUACGUAGGUGGCAAGCGUUGUCCGGAUUUAUUGGGCGUAAAGCGAGCGCAGGCGGUUUUUUAGGUCUGAUGUGAAAGCCUUCGGCUUAACCGGAGAAGUGCAUCGGAAACCGGGAGACUUGAGUGCAGAAGAGGACAGUGGAACUCCAUGUGUAGCGGUGAAAUGCGUAGAUAUAUGGAAGAACACCAGUGGCGAAGGCGGCUGUCUGGUCUGUAACUGACGCUGAGGCUCGAAAG
RNAcentral lists this ribosomal RNA (754 nucleotides) under Lentilactobacillus buchneri. RNAcentral describes it as "bacterial SSU rRNA". It matches the Rfam family "Bacterial small subunit ribosomal RNA", at positions 49 to 759 of the family's 1533-position model. The record is from RNAcentral. Lineage: Bacteria; Bacillati; Bacillota; Bacilli; Lactobacillales; Lactobacillaceae.